RNAcentral lists this ribosomal RNA (403 nucleotides) under Verrucomicrobiota bacterium. Its description in RNAcentral is "Verrucomicrobia bacterium partial 16S ribosomal RNA". It matches the Rfam family "Bacterial small subunit ribosomal RNA", at positions 355 to 776 of the family's 1533-position model. The record is from RNAcentral. Lineage: Bacteria; Pseudomonadati; Verrucomicrobiota.
UGGGGAAUAUUGCACAAUGGGGGAAACCCUGAUGCAGCGACGCCGCGUGAGCGAAGAAGGCUUUCGAGUCGUAAAGCUCUGUCCUAUGAGAAGAUAAUGACGGUAUCAUAGGAGGAAGCCCUGGCUAAAUACGUGCCAGCAGCCGCGGUAAUACGUAUGGGGCGAGCGUUGUCCGGAAUUAUUGGGCGUAAAGGGUACGUAGGUGGUUUUUUAAGUCAGGUGUCAAAGCGUGGAGCUUAACUCCAUUAAGCACUUGAAACUGAAAGACUUGAGUGAAGGAGAGGAAAGUGGAAUUCCUAGUGUAGCGGUGAAAUGCGUAGAUAUUAGGAGGAAGACCGGUGGCGAAGGCGACUUUCUGGACUUUUACUGACGCUCAGGUACGAAAGCGUGGGGAGCAAACAGG